RNAcentral lists this ribosomal RNA (253 nucleotides) under uncultured bacterium. Its description in RNAcentral is "partial 16S ribosomal RNA". It matches the Rfam family "Bacterial small subunit ribosomal RNA", at positions 524 to 776 of the family's 1533-position model. The record is from RNAcentral.
GACGAACCGAGCGAACGUUAUUCGGAAUCACUGGGCUUAAAGGGCGCGUAGGCGGGCGAUCAAGUCAGGGGUGAAAGCCCCCAGCUCAACUGGGGAAGUGCCUCUGAUACUGGUCGCCUCGAGGGAGGUAGGGGCGUGCGGAACUUCCGGUGGAGCGGUGAAAUGCGUAGAUAUCGGAAGGAACGUCGGUGGCGAAAGCGGCGCGCUGGACCUCUUCUGACGCUGAGGCGCGAAAGCCAGGGGAGCGAACGGG